CAGCAGCCACGGUAAUACGAAGGGGGCUAGCGUUGUUCGGAUUUACUGGGCGUAAAGGGUGCGUAGGCGGAUUGUUAAGUCAGGGGUGAAAUCCCGAGGCUCAACCUCGGAACUGCCUUUGAUACUGGCGAUCUUGAGUCCGGGAGAGGUGAGUGGAACUGCGAGUGUAGAGGUGAAAUUCGUAGAUAUUCGCAAGAACACAGGUGGCGAAGGCGGCUCACUGGCCCGGUACUGACGCUGAGGCACGAAAGCGUGGGGAGCAAACAGGAUUAGAUACCCGUGUAGUCCCUGUCUCUUAUAC
RNAcentral lists this ribosomal RNA (301 nucleotides) under uncultured bacterium. RNAcentral's name for it is "partial 16S ribosomal RNA". It matches the Rfam family "Bacterial small subunit ribosomal RNA", at positions 509 to 807 of the family's 1533-position model. The record is from RNAcentral.